UGAUGCUGACCGGCUAACGGGUGCGGAACAAGGCAGAACCUUCCUUCGAGCAGUGGAAUAGCCCACAGAAAUAUGCAUUUAUACCCCACAGCAUACCGGAGUGGCAUCACUUUGUUAUUCAAGACCUAUCACUUUAAGAUGGCUGUGCGGCUGAUUAGGUAGUUGGUGGGGGAACGGCCCACCAAGCCUGCGAUCAGUAACUGGUGUGAGAGCACGACCAGUCACACGGGCACUGAGACACGGGCCCGACUCCUACGGGAGGCAGCAGUAAGGAAUAUUGGUCAAUGGGCGAAAGUCUGAUCCAGCCAUGCCGCGUGAGUGAAGAAGGCCUUCGGGUUGUAAAGCUCUUUCGUCCGGGAAGAAAUCGCAUCAGUUAAUACCUGGUGGGAUGACGGUACCGGAAUAAUAAGCACCGGCUA
Molecule: ribosomal RNA, 419 nt
Filed under: uncultured bacterium
Lineage: Bacteria
Description: bacterial SSU rRNA
Rfam family: Bacterial small subunit ribosomal RNA
Source: RNAcentral